UCCCCCCCAAGAUGUACAGUACUCUGUUAGUAACCACUGUCAGUUGUCACCAAGACCUCCCAAGCCACCUUUCAGCAGUGUUAUUUGGGGCUUGGGAGAGUUUUCCUAGGGGUUUCUUUCCUCUCUUUUCCUUUUCCUGAGCUCUUGGCUGAGCCCUAAGGUUACCACAGAAGGCUUGGAAUCUGCAGCUGUCACAAUAACUUUUGCAUUGUCUGCAAAUAUCCAUCUCCUUCAUAUCCUUCCACUCAGCCAACUGCCUGCCAUGUGCACUUUAUUGUUAUGGCCAGUGCUUAAGAAAGAUAAACAUGUGUCCUCUGCUCAAAGUAGGUGCUUGGUGAAGAGUGUACGAAGCUUAAAGAUGUCUGUUGGAAGAGACUGUACAACUCUACAGCAGAGUAGUUCAACUCCCUCUUACAAGUAAUGCAUUCAGAUUACAAUUUUCCUAGAGAGGAAAGAUGAAAAUAUA
This 466-nucleotide long non-coding RNA is filed under the name Numida meleagris (helmeted guineafowl). Its description in RNAcentral is "lncRNA (ENSNMEG00000016430.1)". The record is from RNAcentral. Lineage: Eukaryota; Metazoa; Chordata; Aves; Galliformes; Numididae.